RNAcentral lists this ribosomal RNA (253 nucleotides) under uncultured bacterium. RNAcentral describes it as "partial 16S ribosomal RNA". It matches the Rfam family "Bacterial small subunit ribosomal RNA", at positions 524 to 776 of the family's 1533-position model. The record is from RNAcentral.
UACGAAGGGGGCUAGCGUUGCUCGGAAUCACUGGGCGUAAAGCGCACGUAGGCGGGUCGUUAAGUCGGGGGUGAAAUCCUGGAGCUCAACUCCAGAACUGCCUUCGAUACUGGCGAUCUUGAGUCUGGGAGAGGUGAGUGGAACUCCGAGUGUAGAGGUGAAAUUCGUAGAUAUUCGGAAGAACACCAGUGGCGAAGGCGGCUCUCUGGGACGGUACUGACGCUGAGACGCGAAAGCGUGGGGAGCGAACAGG